RNAcentral lists this ribosomal RNA (558 nucleotides) under Cytospora salicacearum. Its description in RNAcentral is "eukaryotic LSU rRNA". It matches the Rfam family "Eukaryotic large subunit ribosomal RNA", at positions 73 to 657 of the family's 3401-position model. Lineage: Eukaryota; Fungi; Ascomycota; Sordariomycetes; Diaporthales; Cytosporaceae. The record is from RNAcentral.
AUGCCCUAGUACGGCGAGUGAAGCGGCAACAGCUCAAAUUUGAAAGCUGGCUCCGGCCCGCGUUGUAAUUUGCAGAGGAUGCUUCUGGCGAGGUGCCUUCCGAGUUCCCUGGAACGGGACGCCAUAGAGGGUGAGAGCCCCGUAUGGAUGGACACCAAACCUGUGUGAAGCUCCUUCAACGAGUCGAGUAGUUUGGGAAUGCUGCUCUAAAUGGGAGGUAAAUCUCUUCUAAAGCUAAAUACCGGCCAGAGACCGAUAGCGCACAAGUAGAGUGAUCGAAAGAUGAAAAGCACCUUGAAAAGGGGGUUAAACAGUACGUGAAAUUGUUGAAAGGGAAGCGCUUGUGACCAGACUUGCGCCGGGCAGCUCAUCAGGGGUUCUCCCCUGUGCACUCUGCCCGGCUCAGGCCAGCAUCGGUUCUCGUGGGAGGAUAAGAACGGUAGGAACGUGGCCCCCCUCCGGGGGGGUGUUAUAGCCUGCCGUACGAUACUCCCGUGGGGACCGAGGUUCGCGCUCCGCAAGGAUGCUGGCGUAAUGGUCAUCAGCGACCCGUCUUAA